GAUGAACGCUAGCGGCAGGCUUAACACAUGCAAGUCGAGGGGCAGCGAGAUCAGUGCUUGCACUGAUUGUCGGCGACCGGCGCACGGGUGCGUAACGCGUAUGCAACCUACCCAUUACAGGGGGAUAACACUGAGAAAUCGGUACUAAUACCCCAUAACAUCCAGGGAGGCAUCUUCUUGGGUUGAAAACUCCGGUGGUAAUGGAUGGGCAUGCGUUGUAUUAGUUAGUUGGUGGGGUAACGGCUCACCAAGACGACGAUACAUAGGGGGACUGAGAGGUUAACCCCCCACAUUGGUACUGAGACACGGACCAAACUCCUACGGGAGGCAGCAGUGAGGAAUAUUGGUCAAUGGACGCAAGUCUGAACCAGCCAUGCCGCGUGCAGGAAGACGGCUCUAUGAGUUGUAAACUGCUUUUGUACGAGGGUAAACGCAGAUACGCGUAUCUGUCUGAAAGUAUCGUACGAAUAAGGAUCGGCUAACUCCGUGCCAGCAGCCGCGGUAAUACGGAGGAUUCAAGCGUUAUCCGGAUUUAUUGGGUUUAAAGGGUGCGUAGGCGGUCGGAUAAGUUAGAGGUGAAAUCCCGGGGCUCAACUUCGGAAUUGCCUCUGAUACUGUUCGGCUAGAGAGUAGUUGCGGUAGGCGGAAUGUAUGGUGUAGCGGUGAAAUGCUUAGAGAUCAUACAGAACACCGAUUGCGAAGGCAGCUUACCAAGCUACUUCUGACGUUGAGGCACGAAAGCGUGGGGAGCAAACAGGAUUAGAUACCCUGGUAGUCCACGCAGUAAACGAUGAUAACUCGUUGUCGGCGAUACAGUGUCGGUGACUAAGCGAAAGCGAUAAGUUAUCCACCUGGGGAGUACGUUCGCAAGAAUGAAACUCAAAGGAAUUGACGGGGGCCCGCACAAGCGGAGGAACAUGUGGUUUAAUUCGAUGAUACGCGAGGAACCUUACCCGGGCUUGAAAGUUAGUGACGGAUCUUGAAAGAGGUCUUCCCUUCGGGGCACGAAACUAGGUGCUGCAUGGUUGUCGUCAGCUCGUGCCGUGAGGUGUCGGGUUAAGUCCCAUAACGAGCGCAACCCCUACCGUUAGUUGCCAGCAGGUCAAGCUGGGCACUCUGACGGGACUGCCGGUGUAAGCCGAGAGGAAGGUGGGGAUGACGUCAAAUCAGCACGGCCCUUACGUCCGGGGCUACACACGUGUUACAAUGGCAGGUACAGAGGGCAGCUACCCAGCGAUGGGAUGCGAAUCUCGAAAGCCUGUCUCAGUUCGGAUUGGAGGCUGAAACCCGCCUCCAUGAAGUUGGAUUCGCUAGUAAUCGCGCAUCAGCCAUGGCGCGGUGAAUACGUUCCCGGGCCUUGUACACACCGCCCGUCAAGCCAUGGAAGCUGGGGGUGCCUGAAGUUCGUGACCGGAAGGAGCGACCUAGGGCAAAACCGGUGACUGGGGCUAAGUCGUAACAAGGUAGCCGUACCGGAAGGUGCGGCUGGAACACCUCCUUUCUGGAGCCUUGUUUCAAAGGUAGUUAGCUGCUCACUUCAAAGGAACGUCACAACAGCACCGCUUCAGGCGUAGGUUCGAUCCGAGUGCUGUUCUCGGCAAACGCAAGUUUGCGCGUUCUUUGACAUGAUUAAGGUUAUGAGAUAAAGUCUUCAUACAUUUCAAUAGGGUGUAUGAAGAGUUGUAAGAAAGUAAAUAAGAGCGUAUGGGGGAUGCCUGGGCUCUUGGAGGCGACGAAGGACGUGGUAAGCUGCGAUAAGCCUCGGGGAUUCGCAAACUGGAAUCGAUCCGAGGAUUUCCGAAUGGGACAACCCGGCAGGUUGAUGACCUGUCACACAGUAAUGUGAGCCAACCCUCUGAACUGAAACAUCUUAGUAGGAGGAGGAAAAGAAAGAAACAUCGAUUUCCUGAGUAGCGGCGAGCGAAAGGGAAGUAGCCUAAACCGGUUUCGUUACGGCGUGACCGGGGUUGUAGGACUGCGUUAUUCGAGUGACUGCGAACUGGAACGUUCUGGAAAGUUCGGCCAUAGAGGGUGAAAGCCCCGUAUAGGUAAGUUCGUCAUAAGAUAGCAGUAUCCUGAGUAGGGCGGGACACGAGGAAUCCUGUCUGAAUCUGCCAGGACCACCUGGUAAGGCUAAAUACUCCCAAGAGACCGAUAGUGAACC
Molecule: ribosomal RNA, 2164 nt
Filed under: uncultured Alistipes sp.
Lineage: Bacteria; Pseudomonadati; Bacteroidota; Bacteroidia; Bacteroidales; Rikenellaceae
Description: partial contains 16S ribosomal RNA, 16S-23S ribosomal RNA intergenic spacer, and 23S ribosomal RNA
Rfam family: Bacterial small subunit ribosomal RNA (bases 1-1501)
Source: RNAcentral